AGAGUUUGAUCAUGGCUCAGAUUGAACGCUGGCGGCAGGCCUAACACAUGCAAGUCGAACGGUAACAGGAAGCAGCUUGCUGCUUUGCUGACGAGUGGCGGACGGGUGAGUAAUGUCUGGGAAACUGCCUGAUGGAGGGGGAUAACUACUGGAAACGGUGGCUAAUACCGCAUAACGUCGCAAGACCAAAGAGGGGGACCUUCGGGCCUCUUGCCAUCAGAUGUGCCCAGAUGGGAUUAGCUUGUUGGUGAGGUAACGGCUCACCAAGGCGACGAUCCCUAGCUGGUCUGAGAGGAUGACCAGCCACACUGGAACUGAGACACGGUCCAGACUCCUACGGGAGGCAGCAGUGGGGAAUAUUGCACAAUGGGCGCAAGCCUGAUGCAGCCAUGCCGCGUGUAUGAAGAAGGCCUUCGGGUUGUAAAGUACUUUCAGCGGGGAGGAAGGUGUUGUGGUUAAUAACCACAGCAAUUGACGUUACCCGCAGAAGAAGCACCGGCUAACUCCGUGCCAGCAGCCGCGGUAAUACGGAGGGUGCAAGCGUUAAUCGGAAUUACUGGGGCGUAAAGCGCACGCAGGCGGUCUGUCAAGUCGGAUGUGAAAUCCCCGGGCUCAACCUGGGAACUGCAUUCGAAACUGGCAGGCUUGAGUCUUGUAGAGGGGGGUAGAAUUCCAGGUGUAGCGGUGAAAUGCGUAGAGAUCUGGAGGAAUACCGGUGGCGAAGGCGGCCCCCUGGACAAAGACUGACGCUCAGGUGCGAAAGCGUGGGGAGCAAACAGGAUUAGAUACCCUGGUAGUCCACGCCGUAAACGAUGUCUACUUGGAGGUUGUGCCCUUGAGGCGUGGCUUCCGGAGCUAACGCGUUAAGUAGACCGCCUGGGGAGUACGGCCGCAAGGUUAAAACUCAAAUGAAUUGACGGGGGCCCGCACAAGCGGUGGAGCAUGUGGUUUAAUUCGAUGCAACGCGAAGAACCUUACCUGGUCUUGACAUCCACGGAAGUUUUCAGAGAUGAGAAUGUGCCUUCGGGAACCGUGAGACAGGUGCUGCAUGGCUGUCGUCAGCUCGUGUUGUGAAAUGUUGGGUUAAGUCCCGCAACGAGCGCAACCCUUAUCCUUUGUUGCCAGCGGUCCGGCCGGGAACUCAAAGGAGACUGCCAGUGAUAAACUGGAGGAAGGUGGGGAUGACGUCAAGUCAUCAUGGCCCUUACGACCAGGGCUACACACGUGCUACAAUGGCGCAUACAAAGAGAAGCGACCUCGCGAGAGCAAGCGGACCUCAUAAAGUGCGUCGUAGUCCGGAUUGGAGUCUGCAACUCGACUCCAUGAAGUCGGAAUCGCUAGUAAUCGUGGAUCAGAAUGCCACGGUGAAUACGUUCCCGGGCCUUGUACACACCGCCCGUCACACCAUGGGAGUGGGUUGCAAAAGAAGUAGGUAGCUUAACCUUCGGGAGGGCGCUUACCACUUUGUGAUUCAUGACUGGGGUGAAGUCGUAACAAGGUAACCGUAGGGGAACCUGCGGUUGGAUCACCU
Molecule: ribosomal RNA, 1531 nt
Filed under: Salmonella enterica subsp. enterica
Lineage: Bacteria; Pseudomonadati; Pseudomonadota; Gammaproteobacteria; Enterobacterales; Enterobacteriaceae
Description: bacterial SSU rRNA
Rfam family: Bacterial small subunit ribosomal RNA
Source: RNAcentral